ACCAAUUGAACAUUAGUAGGGUUGCCAUCUCUAAAAUUUGACAACCAGGACAAGACGCGUGAAACCCCCG
Molecule: long non-coding RNA, 70 nt
Organism: Maniola jurtina (meadow brown)
Lineage: Eukaryota; Metazoa; Arthropoda; Insecta; Lepidoptera; Nymphalidae
Exons: 3
Source: RefSeq, a predicted model, not a curated record